AGCCAUAAACUUUGACCUAUCCGCCAGAGUACUACGAGCAACAGCUUAAAACUCAAAGGACUUGGCGGUGCCCUAUACCCACCUAGAGGAGCCUGUUCUUUAAUCGAUAACCCCCGAUAAACCUCACCAUUUAUUGCCAAUACAGCCUAUAUACCACCGUCCAGCCCACCCUUUAAAGGCUAAACAGUAGGCACAACUACAAACAUAAAAACGUCAGGUCAAGGUGUAGCAAAUAAAAUGGGAAGAAAUGGGCUACAUUUUCUAACCUAGAAAACACGGAAAAGUUUAUGAAAUUAAACUUUGAAGGAGGAUUUAGCAGUAAAAAGAAAAAAGAGUGUUCUUUUUAACCCGGCAAUGG
RNAcentral lists this ribosomal RNA (358 nucleotides) under Lissotriton helveticus (palmate newt). Its description in RNAcentral is "partial 12S ribosomal RNA". It matches the Rfam family "Bacterial small subunit ribosomal RNA", at positions 798 to 1377 of the family's 1533-position model. The record is from RNAcentral. Lineage: Eukaryota; Metazoa; Chordata; Amphibia; Caudata; Salamandridae.